GUGUCUCGUGGCUUUCGUUGUCUGGUGCCUCAAAGAAAACACCAGAAAGAUUGUUUCUAAGCUAGAGCCACCCCAGAUUGCUUAAAGUGCAAAGCUCACUGCUGUUGGGGGUACCCUUGUGAGACACUGGAAAGCUGGUUUUACCGUGGCCCUAUGAAGAGGAAGACUGAAAUUUAGACAGUAAUACCUUUACUAGGAUUGGAAAAGAUUUGGUUAAUGACAGCCCUGUCAUUUCUAAAACCCAUUAUCACUGUAUGAGAGAUUCCUUUGCGCUGCAUCCUCGACAGUGCUUCCUAAGGCUCUGCCGACUUCCAGUUCUGGAACAAGAUGGUUAAACUCAUUUUUCCCUGCUCUGCUCCUCUAAAUACAACUAAGUACCUUGGAAACUAUUCAGCAGACAAUGAUAAAGGGCUCUGAAAGCUAGAAGAAAAGGUGUACUUGCAAGAAACCUCAGGACUUGAGUAACAGCAACAUGGCAGGCCAGAAAGCAGACCCAGGGAGGAUAGCACAUGUCUUCGGCUACACUGGUGAAGGCAUCGUGCCUGCUCCACAGCACAUUUUUAUUCAAGGAAAGGAGAAAGAGACUACCUACUGCAUUUCUGUCACUCGCUGAAAAGGACACUCUGUCAGAAAAUCUUCUAGCAAACUUCAAAGGGCAAAAUCACCCCUUGUUACUGAUAAAGCCCAGAGAGCUUCAGCAGCUAACAUUCCCUGGACAGGGCACAGCAAGGAUUUGAACCUAGGUCAGUCUGGCCAGAACACCCACAAGCUUUCCUUAACUCAGUGUGCUAUCUCCCCACGACUAGGUCACUACUGCUUUAUAAUCACCUUUGUAGCCACCAGUGGAUUUUGCUCAUCAGUAUUUUUCAGGCAAUUGAUACUUUAGAUAUUCAGCUGCAAGACGUAUGCAGUUUUCAUUGACAUCUUUUGGAGAAACUGACAAACCUGGACUUGACUUAAUGCCUUUGGAACCUUCCAAGAUGUUAUAUAACUCUAGAUAGAAGGCUGGGCCUCCAUGAUGUCAGGAAUGUUGCAUUCUUAUUUCCCCAUAGAUAAACCCAUUUGUCCACAAAGUCAAGGAGUCAGGCAGAGGCCCUUGCCAUGGGGCUUUUUAGGAUAAAGCAACAAGCCUGGACUUUGCUCUACAACAGGGUUUUGCAUAGGGAGUGGUAUGACCAGAUCCCUCAAGAAAGAAAGCUUAGAGACCAGGCCAGAGUCCACUGCAGUAGCCCAGUCAAGAGAGGAUGGUGACUUGGACUUGUAGUAGAGCCAGUUAGAAUGAAAGAAAUUGACACAUUCAGAAAUGGUUUUAGAGAUAGAGUCAAACUGGACCUGAUAAAGAACUAGAGAAGCGGAGUGAGGAUAAAGAGAAGAGCCAUGACUGACUCGGAAGAUUUUGUCUUGAAAAACUUGAGAACUCAAGACAGAGUGAAAUAAAAUCACAUGUGGGAAAAA
RNAcentral lists this long non-coding RNA (1455 nucleotides) under Homo sapiens (human). RNAcentral's name for it is "MIR4435-2 host gene". Lineage: Eukaryota; Metazoa; Chordata; Mammalia; Primates; Hominidae. The record is from RNAcentral.